This 66-nucleotide transfer RNA is filed under the name uncultured Yaniella sp. It matches the Rfam family "tRNA", at positions 5 to 66 of the family's 71-position model. Rfam says of the family: Transfer RNA (tRNA) molecules are approximately 80 nucleotides in length. Their secondary structure includes four short double-helical elements and three loops (D, anti-codon, and T loops). The record is from RNAcentral. RNAcentral also lists the same sequence under 1 other name. Lineage: Bacteria; Bacillati; Actinomycetota; Actinomycetes; Micrococcales; Micrococcaceae.
CAGUAGCUCAGCUGGAUAGAGCAACGGCCUUCUAAUCCGUAGGUCGGGGGUUCGAGUCCCUCCUGG